AAUUCUUAUGUCCACUUUCUUUUCACAUUACAUCAGUUCCAGACUAGCUUUUUACUUCGCCACAACCACACAACAUGCUGUUAGUUACUAAGCAUACAGUCAGUUGCUAAGGACAUCAGUGUCUAAAUAAUUUAGAUGUAUUUUCCUAUUUCCUUAGAAACGACCAGAACAGCGGUCAGCUUAAAAUGUGUCUAUAAUAGAAGCCAAUGGGCAGGUGCUGAAUACUGUAGAAUUGGCUUGGAAAAUGCAUUGCAUUAACCCGGAUUUUAGUUGUGAAAUGCAGGAAUGUGUUCCAAUUUUCCAGGUUUAGCAGGAUAGAUCGUUUAUGAGCAAAAAUAAAAAGUAGAAGAGACCUCCGUUUUAAAUAGUACGAUGUGUGUCACUUUCUGCCAAUGUGCAAGUAUGUAUCAGUGAUUUGUAGCAGUGUGUUUUGUGUAGCUAGUGCAGCAUAUGAUCUGCGUGUCUCCCAUAUGGUGUGCAUGCUGGAGGGGCGAGUAUGUGUAUGUGUAUAUAACAGAUGGUAGAGAGGAGACGGGACUUGCGUUGGUCACAGCAGAAGCUUUGUCAGUAAUUUUCUGUCUAUGCUUGCAUAGACUGUGGCUGGCCAUUGUGCAAUCCUGGCCCUUCAUUGGCUCGUCUGACUCUGCGAGAACAGCUUUAACUUCCGCGGCAGCCGCUGUCACUAUGGGUUUAACAGGCUGGGAAAACAGCAGCUAUGAAAGGGAGGAGGGACUUUCUUGCUCCCCCUGCUGGACAAAUGUUGAACAGUGAUUCAGCAAAGUGAUCAUACAAAACAAAACCCAGACUAUAACCAGUGACUGCUUAACAAAAAAAGAAAAAUAAUAAUUCUAAACAUGAUUUAGGAAAUCAUCUUUGAUACAUCUUUGAUACAUCAUUGAAUUGUGAAAUUAAAUGUAAAAGUGUCUUAAACUACAUUAACUAUGUACAAGGUGAUUCAUUAUAGAGAGGAAAAGCAGUGCAUUUUUGUGUUUUAUUGUUACAAUUAAAAUAUAUAAUAAAAAUACAUAAAAAUACCAUGUUUUUAAUCUACAGAAUUGAUGCUGUCACAUCACCACCAUCAGCGUUUAUUCUCACAGUAGUAACAAAUAAGAAAGCAUUAAAUAAGAAAGUAACAAUUAAGUAAAGGAGCCAAAGGUUUCUGACUGUAAUGAAAAAUGUUAGUUUGACUUGUUCAGUGUUUAUUGUUUACCCAAAUCAUUAACUGGGUAAGGUUUGGCUUCUGCUGUGUUAACAUGUUGGCAUUGCAAAAAAUGGCAUUACAAAAAAAAAAAAAAAAAAAAAAGCUUUGUUUCGGAAAGUGAGACGGUGGCAAUUAUGCAAGUGUAUUGGUGUUUGCCACAGUUUCACAGGGGUGAUAGCAUUCCGCCGCCGCUCCGGAAAUCCGGCAUAGCCUGGUUCUGUAAAAAAAAUAAAUAAAUAAAAGCAUAAAGAAUAUAUGGCGUUGGGCAUGGAUCAAAGAUGUGGGGCUUGAUGGUAAUCCCUUUUCGAGCUGGUGUCAAAAGCUUCGGCAACAUGGUGCUUAUUACUGUAUGUUAAACGGUAAAAAAAAAUUCUCUCUUGGCACGAACAAGACCCUGUACAUAAAGCAGCAGCCAGAGCAGUGCAAUAUACCACCCUUUUGCCAGGAGCAUCAGCUACGGCGGACAUUCCACCUUCGAUGGCAGAUCGAGUAUUUAACUUAAAAAUUCAGCUGUGCACCUUCAUUGCAGGACAGUAGAUGAGCUCGGCGCGACAGUAGAUGAGCUGGGCGCGGCAGUAGAUGAGCUCGGCGCGGCAGUAGAUGAGCUCGGCGCGGCAGUAGAUGAGCUCGGCGCGACAGUUAAAAAGAUCGGCGCGACAGUUAAAAAGAUCGGCGCGACAGUUAAAAAGAUCGGCGCGACAGUAGGUGAGCUCCGCGGUACUGUUAAAAAGCUUGCCGCGACAGUAGGUGAGCUCCGCGGUACAGUUAAAAAGCUCAGCGCGACAGUAGGUGAGCUCCGCGGUACAGUUAAAAAGCUCAGCGCGACAGCAGGUGAGCUCCGCGGUACAGUUAAAAAGCUCAGCGCGACAGCAGGUGAGCUCCGUGGUACAGUUAAAAAGCUCAGCGCGACAGCAGGUGAGCUCCGCGGUACAGUUAAAAAGCUCCGCGGUACAGUUAAAAAGCUCAGCGCGACAGUAGGUGAGCUCCGCGGUACAGUUAAAAAGCUCAGCGCGACAGCAGGUGAGCUCCGCGGUACAGUUAAAAAGCUCAGCGCGACAGCAGGUGAGCUCCGUGGUACAGUUAAAAAGCU
This is a long non-coding RNA of Astyanax mexicanus (Mexican tetra), 2291 nucleotides long. RefSeq lists it as uncharacterized. The record is from RefSeq and is a predicted model, not a curated record. The transcript is spliced from 3 exons. Lineage: Eukaryota; Metazoa; Chordata; Actinopteri; Characiformes; Acestrorhamphidae.